AAAAUGCGAUAAGUGGUGUGAUAUGCAAGUCCAAAACUUAUACGUGAACCAUCGAAUUGUUGAACGCACUGCAUCGAGCCUUACCCAGGAACGAUACGCCCCAUUGAGCGUCAUUAACAUCUUCGCGACACUGUCAUUCCUUUGGCAUGUCCGGGUUCGGGAUUCACAGCUUGCGCUGCGCUUCCUUAGAUACAUGGCUGCACGCAGACCGACGGUCUCCUUGUCAUAAAUGCCGGGGACGACUCGACGUGUGCGGGCGAGAUCGGUCUUCCCAGACCCGAUCAACCGCGGCGGCCGGUGUCAUGCCGGUCGAUGCACUUUUACACAUGACCUCACGGGGGCGGGACGACCCGCUAGACUUAAGCAUAUUAAUCAGCGGAGGAAAAGAAACUAACAAGGAUUCCCCUAGUAACUGCGAGUGAACAGGGAUGAGCUCAAUGUGUGAAUCAGGUCGGGAUUAGCUCCUUGCUUGAGUUGUGCACUAUAGACAGCGGAUCAGCGCUUGAAGACUCGUGGUGGAUAUCCGAUGAAACUCGGUGCUAUUAAGGGUCAUAGUCCUGUACUUGCCUUAUGAGUCUUUGCGCAUUUGACCGAUGUUYUGCGAGUCGCGUAGUUUUGUAAUGCUGCGCCAAUUUGGAGGUAGAGCCCUUCUAAAGCUAAAUAUGAUGAUGUGACCGAUAGCACACAAGUACCGCGAGGGAAAGGUGAAAAGCAACCAUGCAGAAUGGGUUGAAACAGCAGUGAAAGCGCUACCGGGAUAAGGGCUGGGGAUUGCUUGUGUCGCUUGCGCGUGCUUCAGUGCUGUGCUUGUGAACGGCAUGCAUCGAUUAGGAUGGGGAGAACAGGGCCACCGGGAAUUCGGCAGAUCCGUCUAGUGUUGUAGCCCGGAG
Molecule: ribosomal RNA, 890 nt
Filed under: uncultured Tulasnellaceae
Lineage: Eukaryota; Fungi; Basidiomycota; Agaricomycetes; Cantharellales; Tulasnellaceae
Description: eukaryotic LSU rRNA
Rfam family: Eukaryotic large subunit ribosomal RNA (bases 328-890)
Source: RNAcentral